RNAcentral lists this ribosomal RNA (280 nucleotides) under uncultured archaeon. Its description in RNAcentral is "partial 16S rRNA". It matches the Rfam family "Archaeal small subunit ribosomal RNA", at positions 1047 to 1325 of the family's 1478-position model. The record is from RNAcentral.
GAGACCCACAUGUUUAGUUGCCAUCAAGAGCCUUCGGGUUUGUUGGGAACGCUAAACAGACUGCCAUCGUACAGGUGGAGGAAGGAGUGGGCUACGGCAGGUCAGUAUGCCCCUAAUCCCCCGGGCCACACGCGGGCUGCAAUGGGAUGGACAAUGGGUUGCGACUCUGAAAGGAGAAGCCAAUCUCGAAACCAUCUCUCAGUUGGGAUUGCCGGCUGUAACCCGCCGACAUGAACGUGGAAUCCCUAGUAAUCGUGUGUCAACAUCGCACGGUGAAUAC